GCUCUUUAGUUUUAGGACUUAACAGUCUAGUCGGGUGUUUAGCCAGACUCUAACUUAUUGAUGAAA
Molecule: non-coding RNA, 66 nt
Organism: Acinetobacter towneri
Lineage: Bacteria; Pseudomonadati; Pseudomonadota; Gammaproteobacteria; Moraxellales; Moraxellaceae
Source: Rfam